Molecule: ribosomal RNA, 202 nt
Filed under: uncultured bacterium
Lineage: Bacteria
Description: partial 16S ribosomal RNA
Rfam family: Bacterial small subunit ribosomal RNA
Source: RNAcentral
UAGGCUGAAACUCGCCUACAUGAAGCUGGAGUUACUAGUAAUCGCAGAUCAGAAUGCUGCGGUGAAUGCGUUCCCGGGUCUUGUACGCACCGCCCGUCACACCACGGAAGUUGGGGGCGCCCGAAGCCACUUAGCUAACCCUUUUGGGAAGCGAGUGUCGAAGGUGAAAUCAAUAACUGGGGUGAAGUCGUAACAAGGUACC